This 160-nucleotide unclassified non-coding RNA is filed under the name Loktanella fryxellensis. RNAcentral's name for it is "6S / SsrS RNA". The record is from RNAcentral. Lineage: Bacteria; Pseudomonadati; Pseudomonadota; Alphaproteobacteria; Rhodobacterales; Roseobacteraceae.
GGGUUUCUGCUCUUCCCGUGCGCAUGGGGGCUACAUUCCAGUGGCCUUAAGCAAAUCCGAGGGCGCUGGCUCUGUCCGGACUCCGGUUCGGUUACCCGGUACCCACCUGUACAUACAGGUCCUCGGGAAUAAGCCCUCGCACGGUCGCUGCGGUUCCCGC